This is a ribozyme of Amazona collaria (yellow-billed parrot), 265 nucleotides long. It matches the Rfam family "RNase MRP". From Rfam's summary of the family: RNase MRP is an enzymatically active ribonucleoprotein with two distinct roles in eukaryotes. In mitochondria it plays a direct role in the initiation of mitochondrial DNA replication. The record is from Ensembl. NCBI's taxonomy places the organism in Eukaryota, Metazoa, Chordata, Aves, Psittaciformes, Psittacidae.
GGAUGCUCUGAAGACCUGCUCGCUAGGCUAUGCACGGAGGACGCUCGUUCCUCACGGGCCUCGGCCCGCCUAGGGGAAAGUCCCCGGACCGCAGGCAGAGAGUGCCGGGCGCUGCCGCGCCCCUGCCUACCCCCAUCGUCACCAUAACACCGCCGAGACGCCCCCGGGCCGAGCGGGUGAUCGAGGGGCGGGCUCUCGUCACGGCCACAGACACGCAGGUAGUGCGCAGGCGCACCAACAGAACGGGGCUCACUCUCAGGCCAUC